AUGGCAUCAAAAGUUCGAAUCGAUCGUAUGGCCUCUUUGAACGUAGCUCCAGUGCACACUACACUGUUGCUCAGCCUUAAAUCGUCGCCUACCACCAAGAAACACUCAUUCAUUGCAAUUUUCGAGGAGAAGUUAGAUUAUGAAAACUACCUAUUGUGGUGUUGGCAAGUAGAACCAGUAAUUAAAACACUCAAAUUCUAUUAUCCUAUUAUCCCUACAAAGUUUAACUCGGGCGUCGAUGCCACUACAAAUCGUGUCUCCCUUGAAUGCGAUGCUUGGGAACAAGAUCAAAUUCUAUUGGCAUGGCUUUGA
Molecule: non-coding RNA, 312 nt
Organism: Vicia faba (fava bean)
Lineage: Eukaryota; Viridiplantae; Streptophyta; Magnoliopsida; Fabales; Fabaceae
Source: the annotation of a GenBank genome assembly